Molecule: long non-coding RNA, 1556 nt
Filed under: Gossypium barbadense (sea-island cotton)
Lineage: Eukaryota; Viridiplantae; Streptophyta; Magnoliopsida; Malvales; Malvaceae
Description: long non-coding RNA (GBAR_LNC008873)
Source: RNAcentral
AAACGACGUCGUUUUGGGGUUAAAAGGCAGCCCCCAAAACGACGUCGUUUUGGGAGGCUAUAAAAGGCCAAGUUCUUUCAAAAAAAAUUCAUUUGAGCUGCUGGAGAAGAAAGAAAAAAAAAAAGGGAAGAGAGGGGAAGGGGGCGAUUCCCGGCCACAGGGCCGGUCACCGUUCGGUCGCCGGACUGCCGUCACCGGCCACCGUGGAGUUUCAAAAAAAAGGUAAAUUUUUUUAUAAUUUUUUUUUAUUUUUGUGUGACUAUAUAUAUAUAUGCUGUUUUUAAUAAAUAAAAAAAAUAAAUAAAAUAGAUGUACGUGUAUUCGGAAGGAAAAGAAAAGAAAAAUAAACAAAAGGGUGAGACCUUUGCACGAUAGAUCUCUUCGUUUGCUUGCUAUAUUUAUUUGAAUCUGCUUCUUUUCUUUGCAUUCGAAAAAAAAAGGUGUCUUUUACAUUGUAUGUUUGGCUUAUAUAUUAGUUUACACUGCUCCUUUUCUUGCUUUCUGUCUUUUCUCGUUUAAUGCUUGUAGGUGAGUGACGGUGCAACUUCGAGGAUGGUGGGGCGGUACUGAGGCGUCGUCAGAGGCGUCAGAGGGCAAGUGGUUUAGGGUUUCAGAGUCUAACACCCUAAAUUUAGGCCAAUUGGACUGGUUUGGGGUUUGGGGUUAGAAAAUGAGUUUUGGGCUAGGGUUGUCGGGUUUUGGGCCCGGUCAAAUUUAGACCGGUACAAUACGUAAAUAUUUUAUACAUGGGCAAUGUAAUUUUUUUAUAUUUUUAAUAUUUUAAUAAAUUUCUAUAGAUAUUUGUGAACCUUUUGUUUUGAUAGUGUAACAAAUAAUUUUUAAUAAAAUAUAUAUAGUUUGUUUCUGAGAGACAUUUGAGGCGUAGUUUUGAGAGAGAGUUGUCCCUCACUCAAAAACUAUGGAUUGCAGUGUAACAAAUCCUUUCUUUUUUUUGGGGGGGGGGGUUAUGAAGAAAAGGGUGAGAAUCUCUUAUAAAAGUGAUAUUCUUUGUGGUCUCAUAAAUGUGGUUUUGUCAUUCAUAGAUCUUAUUUUAUCUCUCACAACAGAUUGUUUGAUGUUUUUUCGGGUGAGUUUUGAGUCCAUUCAUUCUUCCAAUAUUUCUAAAGCUAUCCUUUAUCAUGGCAGCAACUCUGUUGAGGGGGAAAAAAAUGUCAAGUUCGACAAUUGUGCAACCACUCCAGUCUAAGUUGGACAGGCCCGGGUCCUCAGGGGAAACACAAUCUCAGUUCAAGCUUACAGAAUAGAUCCUGUCAAAGUUAAGUCGUACCCUUCGUUUACGCAUUUUUGCCUUAUAUAUAAUCUGUAUCUUUGUUGCUCUUCCGUGAGGGAUGUUGUCGAUGAGGAAAUCAAUGUCUUCACUUGGGUCCUUGCUAGAUUUCAGAUUGUAAAUUUGAACCUGUCUUUUGCUUAUUAUUUAGAACAAAAAGUCAAAUUCCCAGCACUUUGUUUGUGCUCCAUUGGAACACCGAUUGGUUAAUUUGUUUAUAUAAUAAAAAACUUACCCCACCCCACCACUAGGACAACAUUUCUGCUGC